This 217-nucleotide long non-coding RNA is filed under the name Olea europaea (common olive). Its description in RNAcentral is "long non-coding RNA (OEUR_LNC014873)". Lineage: Eukaryota; Viridiplantae; Streptophyta; Magnoliopsida; Lamiales; Oleaceae. The record is from RNAcentral.
GCCAAACAAAGCAAAGGGUUGUAUUUAUAGUAAAACCCAUCCACCGUUGAUUAAGCGGGUUAAUCCAACGGUCCAAGAGCGACUAAGAUACAUAGGCUGAAUAUUGGGCUCGGUUUAAGUAGGCCUUCUAGGUAUAUUAAUAAUGGAUCAUCUAUUGAUUCCAUAUUGGGCCUUUUUCAUCACUGCCUAUUAGUUGGACUGAUCAAAUGGUAUCACA